Molecule: ribosomal RNA, 497 nt
Filed under: uncultured bacterium
Lineage: Bacteria
Description: partial 16S ribosomal RNA
Rfam family: Bacterial small subunit ribosomal RNA
Source: RNAcentral
GAUGAACGCUGGCGGCGUGCCUAAUACAUGCAAGUCGAGCGAACAGAUGAGGAGCUUGCUCCUCUGACGUUAGCGGCGGACGGGUGAGUAACACGUGGAUAACCUACCUAUAAGACUGGGAUAACUUCGGGAAACCGGAGCUAAUACCGGAUAAUAUAUUGAACCGCAUGGUUCAAUAGUGAAAGACGGUUUUGCUGUCACUUAUAGAUGGAUCCGCGCCGCAUUAGCUAGUUGGUAAGGUAACGGCUUACCAAGGCAACGAUGCUUAGCCGACCUGAGAGGGUGGUCGCCCAGAUUGGAACUGAGACACGGUCCAGACUCCUACGGGAGGCCGCAGUAGGGAAUCUUCCGCGAUGGGCGAAAGCCUGACGGAGCAACGCCGCGUGAGUGAUGAAGGUCUUCGGAUCGUAAAACGCUGUUAUUAGGGAAGAACAAAUGUGUAAGUAACUAUGCACGUCUUGACGGUACCUAAUCAGAAAGCCACGGCUAACUACGUG